AUAAUUAAAUAGCCGCAUAAAUGUGCUAAGGUAGCAUAAUAACUUGUCUUUUUAUUGAAGACUAGAACAAAAGAUUUAAUAUUUUAAUUAUUUUAUUAAAUUUUAAUUUUUAAAUUUUCUAAAAAGUAAAAAGACUUUUAUAAGUAAGAAAGACGACAAGACCCUAUUGAACUUAACUUCAGUUUAACUGGGGUAGUUAAUUAAUUAUAAUUUUAUAUUUUAUAUUUAAAAAAAUAUCUUUUAAAAUUAAAUAAUUCAGUUACCAUAGGGAUAACAGCGCAAUUAUAUUUUUAAGAACUUAUUUAAAAAAUAGAUUACGACCUCGAUGUUGAAUUAAUAACCUAAUUAGAAGUAUAAUUCUAUACAGGAAGUCUGUUCGACUUUUAAAUAAUUACAUGAUUUGAGUUCAAACCGGUGUAAGCCAGGUUGGUUUCUAUCUUCUAUAUAUCUUAUACAGUACGAAAGGACCUAUAAAUUUAAUUUAAUUAAUCAAUUGGCAGAAAAAUGCAUUAGAAUUAGAAUCUAAUUAAUCUU
RNAcentral lists this ribosomal RNA (534 nucleotides) under Popcornella spiniformis. Its description in RNAcentral is "partial 16S ribosomal RNA". The stretch from base 147 to 442 matches the Rfam family "Archaeal large subunit ribosomal RNA", at positions 2151 to 2715 of the family's 2987-position model. The record is from RNAcentral. Lineage: Eukaryota; Metazoa; Arthropoda; Arachnida; Araneae; Salticidae.